Molecule: non-coding RNA, 408 nt
Organism: Arachis ipaensis
Lineage: Eukaryota; Viridiplantae; Streptophyta; Magnoliopsida; Fabales; Fabaceae
Source: RefSeq, a predicted model, not a curated record
AUAAUCAAAAUAAAUGAGAAUAUAACCUUAGCUUGACUGACCAAGCAUUUUGCCCAUGAAUUGACGUUAAUAAGAUAUAUGUUUGUUUGCUGUGUUUCUUCCACUUUACAUAUUUUUUGUUUUAAGAAUACUAAAUCAGAUCCAUUUCUAUUCAUAAGAAGAACAACUGACUUGAUCAUUUUUCUAUUAGCCUAUGCGGAUUACAUUUUGAUUACAGGAAAAUCCUAUUCCAACACCAAUGGUUUCUUCUACAAAAUUGACAAAAUUCAUAACCGAAAGGAGUUGAAGAAGAGAUUGAGCAACAGAUUCCAUUUACACUAUCACAAGUAUUGGUAGAGCUUAAGACUUCCAGAAAAGCUAUUCAAGGAAAUUAAAUUCAUUAAUAAUGAAAAACCAUAACCGAAGUUG